GAAAUGCGAUAAGUAGUGUGAAUUGCAGAAUUCAGUGAAUCAUCGAAUCUUUGAACGCACAUUGCGCCCUUUGGUAUUCCUUAGGGCAUGCCUGUUCGAGCGUCAUUUGUAACAUCAAGCUCAGCUUGGUGUUGGGUGUCUGUCCCCGCCCCGCGCGGGGACUCGCCUCAAAAACAUUGGCGGCCGGUACGUUGGCUUCGAGCGCAGCAGAAACGCGAACUCGAGGCCCGACGGAUCGGCGACCAGAAGUCACUUCUUCCACAGCUUGACCUCGGAUCAGGUAGGGAUACCCGCUGAACUUAAGC
RNAcentral lists this unclassified non-coding RNA (305 nucleotides) under plant metagenome. RNAcentral describes it as "partial contains 5.8S ribosomal RNA, internal transcribed spacer 2, and large subunit ribosomal RNA". The stretch from base 1 to 105 matches the Rfam family "5.8S ribosomal RNA", at positions 50 to 154 of the family's 154-position model. The record is from RNAcentral.